GCGGUAAUACCAGCUCUCCGAGUGGUGGGGACGAUUAUUGGGCUUAAAGCGUUCGUAGCCGGCUUAACAAGUCUUCCGUUAAAUCCAACGAUCUAAUCGUUGGUCUGCGGGAGAUACUGUUGGGCUAGGAGGCGGGAGAAGCCGACGGUAUUCUCGGGGUAGGGGUGAAAUCCUAUAAUCCCGG
Molecule: ribosomal RNA, 184 nt
Filed under: uncultured archaeon
Lineage: Archaea
Description: partial 16S ribosomal RNA
Rfam family: Archaeal small subunit ribosomal RNA
Source: RNAcentral